AGAAAUUUGAUCCUGAUUUGAUCAGGAUUUAGGCUUAGUUAAUUUCUAAUUGAAUUAAUAAUUUAUUAAGAUAAUUGAGCUUCUAAUUAAAUUAAAUUUAUUUCUAUCAUUUGGUUCAAACCAAAUUUGAUUUGGCUCAGAAUCGAAUUAAAAAUGAAGUCCUAGUCGGUAGGAACUCUAUCCUUAUCCUUGCACCACCCC
Molecule: long non-coding RNA, 201 nt
Filed under: Elaeis guineensis (African oil palm)
Lineage: Eukaryota; Viridiplantae; Streptophyta; Magnoliopsida; Arecales; Arecaceae
Description: long non-coding RNA (EGUI_LNC046009)
Source: RNAcentral